Anolis carolinensis (green anole) is the source of this 6629-nucleotide long non-coding RNA. RefSeq lists it as uncharacterized. The record is from RefSeq and is a predicted model, not a curated record. NCBI's taxonomy places the organism in Eukaryota, Metazoa, Chordata, Lepidosauria, Squamata, Anolidae. The transcript has 2 exons.
UUUAUUAGGCUUGAUCGAUCCAUGAAAAAUUUGAUUCUAAACUCGUUUCAAUACUAGAGGGGGCAGUUUUUUCGUUUUUGUUGCUAAUAACGAAUUUGGCCCCCAAAAUUUUUCGAAAUUAAUGAAAAUUCGUUAUUUUCUAAAUUAAUUCGUUAAUGGCGGACGCGCAUGCGCGGUGGCCCAAAAACAGCCCGAAGGGGGGGGGACUUAGGGGGCUCUCCCGCCCUCAUUUUUUGAGUGAUCUUCUUCAAACUUGGUACAGUGGUAGAACACAUUUAACACUGAUAGCUCACCAAAAUGUGGAACGUUUCCCUUAUCCUCUGAUUUUUGGCAAAUUUUCAUAGCUUUUAUAAUAAACCUUUUUUUAAUAAUUGCAGUAAUCUGUUCCUGGUUUGAAAGUCUUAUUUCCUGUUAAAUUGGGUUGUCUUUACUGUGAAAGUCAUUGUUCUACUUCAGAAACUUUGUUUUUGUGGCUGAAACUUUGUUAAAUUGGUGUGUGUGUGAUAUAUAUUGUGUAUAUAUAUAUAUAUAGUCCCUGCUUGUGUGUGUGUGUGUGUGUGUGUGUGUGUGUGUGUGUGUGUGUGUGUGUGUGUAGGUAAAGGUAAAGGUAUCCCUUGACGUUAAGUUCAGUCAUGUCUGACUCUGGGGGUUGGUGCUCAUCUCCAUUUCUAAGCCCAAGAGCCAGUGUUGUCCAUAGACACCUCCAAGGUCAUGUGGCCGGCAUGACUACAUGGAGUGCCAUUACCUUCCCAGAAACACCCAGAAAAUGGGAAUUCCAGACAGGAAACAAUCAGGGCCAGCUAAUACCUCCCAACAAAGGAUUCCCCCAGGUAGGAAGCAGCCAGGCUUUGAAGCUGCAAGGCUAUUCAAUGCUAAUCAAGGUGACCAAUUGCAACAUUCACACUUGCCUCCCACAGACAAGAGUUCUUUCUCCCACCCUGGACCUUCCACAGAUAUAUAAACCCCACUUGCCUAGCUUCGCACAGACGUCAAAACCUCUAUGUCUGCCACAGAUGUGGGUGAAACGUCAGGAGAGAAUGCUUCUGGCACAUGGCCAUAGAGCCCGGAAUACAUACCACAACAGUGUGAUCCCGGCCAUGAAAGCUUUCGACAACACAACCACAGUAUCCAUUCAAGUUCAUGUAGCGUAGUAUGGAAUGGAGACCUGUAUUGGGGGGAGGGAGGGUGCGAAUCUGGGCCCCUGGGAGCAGCCGAGGACGGGCCUGGCCCACACCCCCUCGCAUCCCGGGCCUCUUCCUUCCUCUUCCUUUUGUUAUUUAAACUAUAUAUUGUGAAAUUAUGGUGUGUUUUUUUUCAUGCGUGUUCUGUGUUCAAGAUAGGGAGACCAAAGAGGAAAAGCAAGGGAGGGACGGAGGCCCCAACACUUCCGGCUCCCAUGCGAACUCCCCCUUGUGUGCCUUGGAGGGUGGAGCAUGCUCUCCCUUUCUCUAUGGCUCUUUUCAGGUCGCUUGGGAACCCGAAGUGCCUCCUCCCUUUGCCUUUGUGUCCAAGAAGGAGAGAAGGACGUUGCAAGGGGUUCUGUGCCCCAAUGUAUGAGGAGAUAUGGUGGUACAAGAUGUAGUUGAUAUGUCCAGUGGAAGGUUGGGAAUCAUGUGGCCCUUCAAAUGAAGUUCGACCGCAAGUCCCAUCCAAUAUAGCCAAUGGUGAGGAAUUCUGGAAGUAGCAAUCCAAUAAUAUCUGGAAGAACCCGUGAGUCUUACUGUUUACUUUCUAUUCAGAAAAGCUUUUAAAGAUGAAGGUAUUUAGUCAGGGCUCAGUGGUUUUUAACUUUAGAUAUGUUUUGAUAGAUUUUAACUGUGAAUUUUUUAAUGCUGUUUGAGUUUAAUUCCAUUUUAAUGUUUGCAUAUUUGUAUAUUUCAAAUUGGAUACUGAUGCUUUUAUGUCAAGCUGCUUUGAGUCCUCUUUGGGAAGAUAAAGUGGGACAUUAAUAAUAAUAGCAAUAAUAAUAAUAAUAAUUGCAGUACAAGAUAUGAUCUUGUGUCCAGCAUUGCUAUGUUCACGCCUUGCAAAGUGUCCUGUCCCUUUAAGAGCACAUGUUUUUUUCACCACUGAAAUUGUCCUGCUUUUUUCAAAACAGUGUAGUAGUUGAGGAAGGGUGGGUCAUUCAUAUCAUAAAAUAAAUAUUUGCCUAUGGUGCUUCUAGUAGUCUGCUAUGCAGCUGUUGCAGGCAAGCUUUAACAAAGUUCGGUAAUGAACAUUACCUUCAUUCAACAUUUCAAGGAGAAAAAUUCCAUCAGAAUGAAAAUCUCAUGACUGCAGAAGUGAAGAAUGAAGAAAACAUUAUUUUAAUGUUGUUCAGGACAAAGUGGCUCCCUUUGAAGGACAAACUCAUACCUUUAGCUUGACUGCAAUCCUGUGCUCACUUACCUAGUAGUAAGGAUUACUUACUGAGCUCAGUAGGAAUUACUUACACAUAUCUAAGGUUGUGUGGCUUUCCAAACAGCAUCAGUAUGCUUCUAUAGCAACAUGGUUAACACUUCUUUAAUGACCAUUUUAUUACAGUAGAGUCUCACUUAUCCAACACUCGCUGAUCCAACGUUCUGGAUUAUCCAACGCAUUUUUGUUGUCAAUGUUUUCAAUACAUCGUGAUAUUUUGGUGCUAAAUUCGUAAAUACAGCAAUUACGACAUAGCAUUACUGCGUAUUGAACUACUUUUUCUGUCAAAUUUGUUGUAUAACAUGAUGUUUUGGUGCUUAAUUUGUAAAAUCAUAACCUAAUUUUAUGUUUAAUAGGCUUUUCCUUAAUCCCUCCUUAUUAUCCAACAUAUUCGCUUAUCCAACAUUCUGCCGGCCCGUUUAUGUUGGAUAAGUGAGACUCUACUGUACUUGUCUUCUCUUUGUCAUUAUUCAGAGAAAAAAAAUCCCACAUUUAUUUGUAUCUAGAGAAGGUUGAAGAUAGAUACUAUGUUUAGGAAUAGCAUGAUAAUUAAUAAUGCUGUUAUUUUAUGUUGUGGUCCUUCUUCAACAAGGUAUCACUGGGAAUCCAAUAUUGCAGUUAUGAAUGUGUAACCUAAGAUAUGCACUCUCAUGAGCAGUCAUCUGCUUCAAGGGGGGGACAAUCGUAUAAGCCCACCAAUACCUACCCUGUUUCCCCUAAAAUAAGACAUCUCCAGAAAAUAAGACCUAGUAGAGGUUUUGCUGAAUUGCUAAAUAUAAGGCCUCCCCCGAAAGUAAGACCUAGCAAAGUUUUUGUUUGGAAGCAUGCCCAACGAACAGAACACCAGAGCAUGCAGGAUCAGCAAAUGUACGUACCAUAGAUGGUUGUACAUGGAAAUAUUGGUAGUAACAAAAAAUUCUUGAUAGCAUUCACAGUUUGUCUGGUUAUGAUGGUUUGUGAUGACAACUACUGUACAGUAUAUAAUAAAUGUUCUUUUUCUUUUUUUGUUCUACAAUAAAUGUGAAUUCUUCUUCAUGGAAAAAUAAGACAUCCCCUGAAAAUAAGACCUAGAGCAUCUUUGGGAGCAAAAAUUAAUAUAAGACACUGUCUUAUUUUCGGGGAAACACGGUACUUACCAAGCACAGCUACUGGGAUUGAGAACAAUUCAUUCCCCUCUGGUUCCAAAAAUGGCAGACUGAUGGUUUCAUUCACACACCCCUCUUACAAACAAUUCAAGUAUAAUGGGAAUUGCAACAGUGGUCUUGCAGGGGAUCAGAUCCCCUUUAAUCACAGCUGCUGCUCUAUGUUAAGUAUGGAUGAGCAAGGUUGGGCUGUGAUUCAGUAUGUAGCACUGCUAUGGUGCAACACAAUAGGUAAGUGCCAUACAGGAUUCUGCCAUAUUUACCAGAAUUCCCCAAAUGAGCAGUGUAUAUUAUUUCUGCAAUGGGCCGCAGUGGGUUCUGGGAAUUCCAAUUCAAAAAGAACUUUGUUCCACUUCCACCCUUUCCUGUUUUCCUCUGGUAAAGCCACCUGGCAGAUAGUGAAAGCUUUUGCUUCUAUUUUCAGUAAAAAGCAUCCGCAUAGAUGAGAAAGCAAAUAUGUUUUUAUUAAAUGAUCUAUUAAUAAAUCCAAAGGUCAAUCUCAGGAUUCAGCAAAUUACUAUGAAAGGCCAGAAUUUACUAAUUUACAUAGUCACCUAGCUCUAUAGUGUAUCUCAACCCCCUCAAUACUCACUGAGAGCCUGACAUCCCAUUAUGGGAUCUCCAUUGUAACAACCAAAAGCAGGGUUUCUGUCAAAUGCAUGAAGGACUGGCUGCAUGAGGGGGGAUUGGGAGACUUUCAAAGUCCCUAUAUAUUCUCUAAACUAAAAUCCGGGGAUCAAACCUUGGUCAAUUCUCUGUGAAUAUUUCCAUAGGUAUGAAAUAUCAGGGCUGUUUUUGCCCCCUUCUUCCUUUGAAAUAUUGCUCACAGUUAGCUGUCACCCAAACAAGUGCUAAUCAGGGAUGAUCCUACUGAGGCUGGAUCUAUGCUGCCAUAUAAUCCAGUAUCUGAUCCCAGAUUAUCUGGUUGAAGUGAAUGAGUCCAGUUCAAAGCAGCUAAUCUGGAUUUUAUAUGGCAAUGUAGAUGGGGCCUGAGUUUUCAAUAUCAUUGUCCACCCCGCGACUGUGGAAUGACCUGCUAGACUCAUAGGGGCCAUAGUGGCACAAUAGGUCAAGCCCUUGUGCUACUGAACUGCUGACCUGAAGGUGAGGUCCCGUCUGUCAGCCUUAGCAUGACAACAUGGAAGGCAGUAGGGGAAAAAAAGGAUUCAUCUACAUGGUCACCUAAAUGAGACCAGGCCAGAGCAUUGCUGCUUUGGAUUAGCCCUAGAUUCAGUGGAGCUGUUGACACACCCCUAAUCAUAGUAAGAGAGGGAGCAGAAUCCAGAACUGUCCACUUGGGCUAAACCCGAUUUGGCCCUACUAGAUGGUCACUUUUACCUGAGCUGUGCCAUGUUGCUGUUGGAAGCUGUCAUGAGCGGCUCCUGGCCAUCACCACACACUGUUGCUGACAUCAGCAAAGGCAGGCACCCCACAACAUGGGGAAAGGAAGGAGGUGAUUCCCCUCCUUUCUUCAGGUUGUGUGGGCAUGAUUUCGGAUAUCACCAAAGCUAUGUAGCAAUGACCUGGAGCUUUCUGUAGUGAUAAGAACAGGCAAGGUAAAUUCUACCCCCUUUCCCCCAUGCCAGAGUGUAGGGAAAGGGGGUAAUGGCACUGGCCCAUGCGGUAGUGAGCCAGUUUAUAUUGGAACCAGUCCAGCUGUUCAUACUAACCUGACUUCUGCUAACACAGGUUAAAACUAGGUUAUUUAUUUAUUUAUUUAUUUACAACAUUUAUAGCCCGCCCUUCUCACCUGAAGGGACUCAGGGCGGCUUACACAAUUGGUAACAAUUCGAUGCCGACACAUAGUUAAAAUCAUAACAAUAUAAAAAAUCAAUUAAAAAACAAUACAAUAUAAAAAUGUAAUACAUAUGGUUAAAUCCAUUCAUCCACAAUCCUCAUGCUUUAGUCAUAAAUCAGUCCAGGUCAUCUUUGUUGUUUAUUUGUUAAAGGCCUGAGCACAUGGCCAUGUUUUAGGGCUCUUCAAAAGCUCAAAGGGGUUGGGGCUUGCCGUAUAUCUCUGGGAAGAGUGUUCCACAGCCGGGAAGCCACCACCGAAAAGGCCCUGUCCUUCGUUCCUGCCAGACGCGUUUGCGUGGCAGGCGGGACCGAGAGCAGGGCCUUACCAGAUGACCUUAGGGAUCUUCCUGGCUCAUAGGAGGAGAUACGUUCGGACAAGUAGAUUGGGCCAGAAUCUUUUAGGGCUUUAUAGGUCAAAACCAGCACUUUGAAUUGGGCUCGGUAGCAUAUCGGCAGCCAGUGGAGCUGGCUUAGCAGAUGUGAUGCCUCAUGGGCCUUGUAGUCCCGCUCCUAGUGUCACUGUGGCUGACGAAGAUGAAAACAUGGGGUUUUCUCCGGAUCAACAACAGCCGGAAUCCUUCCAGAUGCCUGAUGUUGAUGUUCUUGCCCAAGAGCCCAUUAAAACAGACCUUGAACAGCUCUCACCUCCCUUCGCUAGGAGACAGUCCUUUGCUGCAGACAGGGGAGUGAAAGAGCGGGUUCGCAGGAGUUUAAGAAUUGCAGCCAAACAAGACACUGAUUAGCCAUGUUUCCCCUGGGAAAAUCCAGGGAGUCUCACAUCUGGAAAGUUGGGUUUCGCUUCCCGUUCUCUAGGGAAAGAGAUCGCUGGACACCUGUUUGGCGGGAAAACGAAACCCAGUUAAAGGUGCCUGGCACGGUUGAUUCCGUGCAGAGACAAUAGAGCAGCUUCAGGAGUGAAAUCGUGUUCCAGCCUUGUGUGGACUUCGCAAAGUCCGCAAAUCCAGUUUCCUUGCCUUGCUUAUUCAAGUAUUCAAGAAUUGCCUUGCCUUGUUCAUAGUCACGGACCUUGUUCCUAGAAUCAAGUUUUGUUUCCAGCCUUGUUGUGGAUUUUACCUUGGACCUUGAAAGACCCUGGACAAUUCCCCACACUAUUGCUUGGCAAUAGUGUGUGUUUCGGUUUAUUGGAUUUUAUCUUUGGACUCUAAUAUCAUUUAUUGGACAAACUAUUUCUGGACUAUAUUUGACCUCAUUUGAAAGGUCUGCUUCUGGACUAUAUUUUCUGCUUGCUUUUAUCAUUCUUAUAUAUUUCCUUAAUAAAGAUAUUAGAUAGUU